This 411-nucleotide long non-coding RNA is filed under the name Helianthus annuus (common sunflower). Its description in RNAcentral is "hypothetical non coding rna". The record is from RNAcentral. Lineage: Eukaryota; Viridiplantae; Streptophyta; Magnoliopsida; Asterales; Asteraceae.
CAAAUGGCUGAACACAAACACUAAACUUCAUCUUCAUCGCCAUUUCGACUACCUUUCUAUCCACAAUGGAAUAAGGUUUUGAAUAUGACGGAAAGUUUGUUAAUCACCUGAGUUUGAUCAGGGAUAAAGAAGUCGCUGUAAAUGAUUAGCAGGGCACAAUGAUCGUAGAAGAAAGCUAACAACUUUAUUCGCCCUGUUUUUGGUUAGAUAUCAAAGAUUCAUAAUUGCUUUUGUUUCCAAAAUGGAUUAGUUUGGUAACGGGUCAAAACAGGUUCAGGUCAAAUUGUGUAAGUUUUUAAUGCGAGUCCAAACGGUUGAAUGGGUUGUGUUAACCUACCAACAAACGGUUGGAUGGGUUGGAUUGACCAAAGACAUGAAAAAAGGAACUUUUGACAUUUAAGGUUAACCUUA